RNAcentral lists this transfer RNA (74 nucleotides) under Fibrobacteraceae bacterium. Its description in RNAcentral is "tRNA-His". It matches the Rfam family "tRNA". Rfam says of the family: Transfer RNA (tRNA) molecules are approximately 80 nucleotides in length. Their secondary structure includes four short double-helical elements and three loops (D, anti-codon, and T loops). The record is from RNAcentral. Lineage: Bacteria; Pseudomonadati; Fibrobacterota; Fibrobacteria; Fibrobacterales; Fibrobacteraceae.
GUGGGUGUAGUUCAAUUGGUUAGAGCACCAGAUUGUGAUUCUGGUUGUUGUCGGUUCGAGUCCGGUCACCCACC